UACGUAGGGUGCGAGCGUUAAUCGGAAUUACUGGGCGUAAAGCGUGCGCAGGCGGUUCGUUGUGUCGGCGGUGAAAGCCCCGGGCUUAACCUGGGAAUGGCCGUUGAAACUGGCGAACUGGAGUAUGGCAGAGGGGGGUAGAAUUCCACGUGUAGCAGUGAAAUGCGUAGAGAUGUGGAGGAAUACCGAUGGCGAAGGCAGCCCCCUGGGCCAAUACUGACGCUCAUGCACGAAAGCGUGGGGAGCAAACAGG
RNAcentral lists this ribosomal RNA (253 nucleotides) under uncultured bacterium. RNAcentral's name for it is "partial 16S ribosomal RNA". It matches the Rfam family "Bacterial small subunit ribosomal RNA", at positions 524 to 776 of the family's 1533-position model. The record is from RNAcentral.